GGCGUCAGUCUUGGCUGGGAGACCUGUACUCCGUACUCCGUACUCCGUAGUCGCAGCGGCGCGGUCUUCGGCAGUCUAGUCAUCCACCGCCAUCCUGGGCCCCACAUGUUGCCUGACCAUUCCUGAGCCCAGGUGGGAGCGGUGGCUGAGGUGACGGUCUCAAAGUGGAAGAGCUUACUGUCACAGCAACUCCUUUGCAAGAUGCCCCGUGUCCAUGAAACUGGGAGGUGACCGUGUUAGCUGCCAGUUCCUGACAGCCACCUCUCACCAGUGGCUUCACUCUGUGUCCCUGACCCAGCACAUGGCACAAGAGUGCCUGCCAUCCCUCAGUGUUUCUACAGCAGCAAUCCCGAGAUGCUGGAGCUAGAGGGGACCUGACCUGAGAGAAGAUACCUUCAGUGGCUGCCAGGCUGUUCCUUGGAACCUGUGCAGGGAUGAGGCCUGCCUGUGUUAAUACACCUAGUGAGGAGUGGAGCUGAAUUUGAAUGCAAGCCUUGGCACCUUAAUUGAGCAAGUUUGAAACCUCGCUUGUUGCCCUUCUGGAAGGAGUCAGGAAUUUCCAGUUCUGGGCCUGGGGCUGUGGGUCUGACAGACAGACCUCUGGCCCUAGGUUUGGGUGCCAGGUUCUCUGCUUCCAGAAUGAGAAGCUUUGCUGUGCACCAGGACCUGGGCCCUUCUGGUAUCUCCUGAAUGAAAAACAAGGGAUAUUUAAUAAAUAUGGAUUUAAAUAUG
This 732-nucleotide long non-coding RNA is filed under the name Pan troglodytes (chimpanzee). RNAcentral's name for it is "lincRNA". The record is from RNAcentral. Lineage: Eukaryota; Metazoa; Chordata; Mammalia; Primates; Hominidae.